UGAGUAACCUGCCCUUCUCAUCGGAAUAAGCGUUGGAAACGACGUCUAAUGCCGAAUACGACCUCCUUUCGCAUGAUCGGAGGUGGAAAGCUCCGGCGGAGAAGGAUGAGCUCGCGGCCUAUCAGCUAGUUGGUGUGGGUAAUGGCCCACCAAGGCGACGACGGGUAGCCGGCCUGAGAGGGUGACCGGCCACACUGGGACUGAGACACGGCCCAGACCUCCUACGGGAGGCAGC
Molecule: ribosomal RNA, 235 nt
Filed under: uncultured bacterium
Lineage: Bacteria
Description: partial 16S ribosomal RNA
Rfam family: Bacterial small subunit ribosomal RNA
Source: RNAcentral